This 62-nucleotide transfer RNA is filed under the name Idiocerus consimilis. RNAcentral describes it as "tRNA-Ala". Lineage: Eukaryota; Metazoa; Arthropoda; Insecta; Hemiptera; Cicadellidae. The record is from RNAcentral.
AGGGUUGUAGUUAAUUAUAACAUUUGAUUUGCAUUCAAAAAGUAUCAAUAAGGUCAAUCUUG